UACAGGAUAAAUGGUUAACGGGAGCAGACGGGAGCGGGAAUCAACCGAUAGCAAAGACGACAAAAAAAUCUAAAUGCACCUAAAUGCAAAAAAAAAGUAAAUGCACCAUUUUGUAGUUUCCUUUCAAUACGCCUACAAUGUAACGCAAUUAAAAAAUAACUACACGACCCAGCCGUCCCAGAAGCCAUCGGGGCUUUUUGUCACGGCCUACCGCCGUAGUUCAAAGAGCAGCGAUGGAGGGAGCUAACAGCCGCGGAGAAAUUGAUGUGGCAAAACAUGAUUUACAGCGCAAAGUCAGAAGUAAGGACAUGUCUGUUAAGUUCACAGAACUGGUCGGAAAGUCUGAAAUAUUAAUUAAGUUUAUGAGAGUAGAAUGCGACGGUGAUAGCACGAUGUACGCUGCUUGUAAGACAUGCUUAGUCUUAGUCAAGUACGCUAGUGAUUCAGGGAUGAGCGGUCUGAAGAGGCACACUUGCAAGGCAAAUUCGGGAAAGAAUCAGCCAAGCAUCGCUUCGUUCAUCAAGCGAAAAUUGCCGUCAGGUUUCAAGUCUCAUCUGACCGACAAAAUUGCUCGCAUGUAAAUGGGAGCGGUACAGGAGCGUGAGUCAGUUUAAACAGGAGCGGUAUGGGAGUGGGACUCAAUUUACCAGGAGCGGGAUGGGAGUGGGACUCAAUUUACCAGGAGCGGUAUGGGAUGGGAUUAGUUUUUAAACUUUGGUCUGGGAGUGGGACGGGACAAGAUUUCUUUCUAUGGGAGUGGGACGGGACAGGAGUGAAAAUCCACUCCCGUGUCAUCCUCUAGCCCGGACCCGUGAUCCAACUCUGCAGGGCCAACUUGCUGUGAGUACGUGCUAACCACUGAGCCCCCGUGCUGCAGAGCAUCUCCACAGAGAACAGCCUCCUGCUGCUGAAAACAAGGCUAAUAAAAGAGAGCAGCGUCUGCAGGUGCCCCACAUAUCCCGGGUCCCUCAUUUACGCCAACAGUACAGCCCCCAGUGCCUCAGUCAG
Long non-coding RNA from Etheostoma spectabile (orangethroat darter), 1008 nucleotides. RefSeq lists it as uncharacterized. The transcript is spliced from 4 exons. Lineage: Eukaryota; Metazoa; Chordata; Actinopteri; Perciformes; Percidae. The record is from RefSeq and is a predicted model, not a curated record.